Colossoma macropomum (tambaqui) is the source of this 808-nucleotide long non-coding RNA. RefSeq lists it as uncharacterized. The transcript has 3 exons. The record is from RefSeq and is a predicted model, not a curated record. NCBI's taxonomy places the organism in Eukaryota, Metazoa, Chordata, Actinopteri, Characiformes, Serrasalmidae.
AAUCAAACCCUCUAAGCCCAUCAAGAUGGAGGAGCGGGGACUGCCAUUCGCUUAGAUAACCGAUGGUCGCUAAUCGUUUCUAUCAGUAAACCUUGUUUCCAAUAGCAGCGCUCGGCACACCCUUUCAGUCAUCAAACUGCACGCCGGCAAUAACGUGAGACGCUGCUAGCCGUCUCGCUAACCAGGCCCAUGUGAUUAAGCCAUGCUCAAUGAUGCCUCGUUGCCAGCUUGAGGGGACGCCACCUCCCAUUCCAGAGGACAAAGGACGGUCCAUUGAAAAGGGUUAAACUUGUUAUCUGCACUGUCUGGCUUGUGGGAGGAUUGGAAACUUGAGGUUUUCUCCUCCUCCCUGUUGUGGAAGGGGUUGGGCCGCUCCGUCUCUUUGUGCUUGGAGCUCUGCCAUUGUUGGAGAUUCCUGAACAGAGUGUCUGGCUAGAAGGGUAAAACUGGUGACUGGGUGAAAUCAGCUCACUGUAGCAGGGCUUUUCCCAUGCCUGCACUAAAGCUCAUCACUCUACAGGGACCAGUGGCUCAUAUUUCCCAGGAUAUUGAGCAAUAUACAUGUGUUCAGCAAAUGAACCAAUGACCUGCUGUUGGUUUUAGCUCUAGAGGAUCCUCUUAUGACAAAAACAACUAUGGUAAUGAUACAGGAACAGGUGUAUUUUGCAUAUAUACAGUUGUAUGCAAAUGUUUUAGAUUUUCUAAUGAAAAUAAGUACACAUCUUCUUAGGAGAAUACACAUCUGCACACUGUAAUGAACAAUUACUGUUUAUUUAAUACAUUUAACACACUGGAAAAAAAACAGUCA